Molecule: ribosomal RNA, 442 nt
Filed under: uncultured bacterium
Lineage: Bacteria
Description: partial 16S ribosomal RNA
Rfam family: Bacterial small subunit ribosomal RNA
Source: RNAcentral
CCUACGGGAGGCUGCAGUGGGGAAUAUUGGGCAAUGGGCGCAAGCCUGACCCAGCAACGCCGCGUGAAGGAAGAAGGCUUUCGGGUUGUAAUCUUCUUUUGUCAGGGAAGAGUAGAAGACGGUACCUGACGAAUAAGCCACGGCUAACUCCGUGCCAGCAGCCGCGGUAAUACGUAGGUGGCAAGCGUUGUCCGGAUUUACUGGGUGUAAAGGGCGUGUAGCCGGGUUGACAAGUCAGAUGUGAAAUCCUGCGGCUUAACCGCAGAACUGCAUUUGAAACUGUUUAUCUUGAGUACUGGAGAGGCAGAUAGAAUUCCUAGUGUAGCGGUGAAAUGCGUAGAUAUUAGGAGGAACACCAGUGGCGGAGGCGGCUUACUGGACGGUAACUGACGCUGAGGCUCGAAAGCGUGGGGAGCAAACAGGAUUAGAUACCCUUGUAGUC